Molecule: long non-coding RNA, 813 nt
Organism: Mesocricetus auratus (golden hamster)
Lineage: Eukaryota; Metazoa; Chordata; Mammalia; Rodentia; Cricetidae
Exons: 4
Source: RefSeq, a predicted model, not a curated record
UUGCACGGGUAUACUACAUGAUGUGUGUGGGUGAUGUGGCUGGUAACUGAUGGAGAAAUCUGGGGCAUCACCCCCAAAGCUCACACACCCGUGGUGGUCCCUCAGGGCUGAGGAGGAAGGGAGCAGUGCAGGCAGGAAGAGGGGUGGUCUUCUGCACUGCCUUCGUGUGAUCCCUCAUCUUCACUCUAGAGCUAGAUAUCUCGAUUGAGGAAUGAAUGGAGAAAUGGGGACCCGGCCAAGGAGUCCCCGGCCAAGGAGGAAACUGGCGAGAGAUGCUUCUGGCAGACCAGGUGACUUAGGGGGGAAAUUUUUUAAAAAAGUAAUCCAAUUUCAUGUACGUGCAUUUCCUCUGGAAUUGCAAUCUCUCUGAAAGGACAGAGGAGAUUUCAUUUUCCAGUUAUCACUUUUCCUACGCUAUUGAGACAGCAUUACUUCAAAGGAUUGGACUGCUCCAGCAGGCUACCCCUCCUUCCGCGUUACAAGGUAAAAUGAUCUCCAACAUAACAAUAUCUCCUUCCUGUUCCAUCAGUCCUGGCUGCCAGGAAUUGUUUCAGGUAGAGGUGUGAGCAUGUGACCGACAUCCAGGUUCAAAGAGGCAGACACACCAAGCAGUCAUGAGACUUGACCGGAAGGACAAGACAGGAAGCCGGUGUUGAAGUAGAUGAUCAAUAACUGCGUGGUCCCCAAAGAGAUGACUGUUCGAGCAGCUUUUCCGUGUGCCCUUUCAGAGUCACGAUGAAAACCCAGGCAAGAAGAAAACUUUUUUAACUUUCAUAAACUCAUAUUUGGUUCAAUAAAAAUGCAGUUGAUUUA